RNAcentral lists this unclassified non-coding RNA (145 nucleotides) under uncultured Dothideomycetes. RNAcentral describes it as "sequence contains ITS2". Lineage: Eukaryota; Fungi; Ascomycota; Dothideomycetes. The record is from RNAcentral.
CACCACUCAAGCCCCUCGUGCUUGGCAUUGGGCGGCGGGGUCCCCCCGCGCCUCAAUUUCUCCGGCUGGACGACUCCUAUCUCAGCGUUGUGGCAAACAAUCCGCUGGCGAGACGGGGCGCCCGCGCCGUUAAACCUCCAUCUCA